This is a long non-coding RNA of Dromaius novaehollandiae (emu), 1915 nucleotides long. RefSeq lists it as uncharacterized. Lineage: Eukaryota; Metazoa; Chordata; Aves; Casuariiformes; Dromaiidae. The record is from RefSeq and is a predicted model, not a curated record. The transcript is spliced from 3 exons.
CGUACCCCACAUAGAUGUUAUCUGAGACAGUUUUCAUAGAAAAAGCAUGCAAAGUAUUAGGUCUCUGCUAGAGCCAGAGAGGCAACACAGACCCAGAUGAGAUUCAGGGCCAAAUGCUUUGCAGUGGGGAUGUGGCCAGUCUACUUGGGAGAUGCCUAGCUUAAGCCCUCUUGAAGCAAUGAAGGUGCUGAUCAGUCCUUCAGAAUUCAGCUGUGCCUUGGCUGUGACACUUUUGCUUAGCAGUAUAGCCACAGUUGCUAGCAUGGGCACAACAAUGUGCUAAGACGUUUGAAUGCCUUUUAAACUGGAGUUGCUUCAGAUCUGUCCAGAAGAGAAGAUGAACAGAGGAAUUCAUAGCUAAAGAAAUCUGGGGAUGAAUAUGGAUUGCAGACUGCUGUGCUAUAUUGGCAGAGAAUAAUCAUGGAGGCUCCUUAAAUCAGAAUUCUAUGCAGCGUGAUACAUACAAAUAUUUUGGAGAUAAACGAUGAUGCAGAUAUACUUCUCCUGGGAUCCAAGCCAGCUCUGCACAGUGCUGCACUGUAUGGUAUAACACCUAAACAUCCCACUCGAGGUCUGUUAGAUGUGGGGUACACAGAAAUAUUCUUUCUCAUCAGGGUGUGCCAAGUACCUGGUAAGGGGAAUGUGGAGGAAAACUGAAAAAAGUGAGGAGCAGACAUGAGGUGACAAGAAUGCAGUUGUCUGUGCACAUCUGGAAUAGGUUCAGUUUCACCCCAGAUUUUUCACUGCUUUGUUGUUGUCCACAAUUGUCUUAAUUGCUUUGCAGGACAAACAAAAUAGAAUCCAGCUCCUGAAGAGCAUCAUAAUCUCAGAAUAGAUGAAAAAGCAUUAAAAGAUGGGAGAAAGAUAUACAACAUACCAGCAAAUCCACAGAGGUGACACAAAGCUGGUUCUGACUAUGAUACUGUGAAUUUUUUGUUUUCAGUAAGACUGUAUUCUCUUACAGCAUUUUCCAUUUAACAAUAUUAACAUACCUUUUCAUUGUAAAAGAACUGAGUUUAGGAUCAUCUGAAUACUUCUCCCAACUUGAAAAACUGAUUACCGAUGAGGCAGUUCUUUAAGGUGACACAGAAAAUCCAUGACAGAUUGGUAAUAAUCCUAGGACAAAGGUAUUCCCCAUCUCCUUCCUAUGCUCUCUUCCUGUCAGUGAGAAUAAACCAUGAUAUCUACGUAUAUUUCCAAUACCUCUAAGUAACACCUCAAACUUUUUUUAAAGAAAAAACAAUAAAAACAAGAAAAUAAUGAUAUAUUUGUGCAUACAAAGUCUCAUAUAGCCCACAAAAACAUCCAUGCAGGUAAAUACAACCUACUUGAAAGUUCACUCUCCUACCAGCAUGCACUACUUGAGGGCUCUUCCUUGAGAAUGGAUAAUAACAAAUCCUCCCAAAAAUCACAUCGUGCAUACAUAUAUUAAAACUAUUCAACUAUGAGCAGAAAAAAGCACUGACUACACUGGACAAGGAAGUGCACAACAAGUAUUAAUUAACAAGGAGAGGAUCCAUUAUGUGUCUGCUCAUUGCUGGGUGCAAUACUACAAACAUAGACGCAGAAAGGAGGUCUUGCUGUCUCAGAGACCUGAGAUGACUCUCUCACAGCCAGAGAACGUAUCUUUCAUGCUUGAUGUUUUCCAGCUGGUGCAAAUAUUGUACAAAGUAAUGUAUUUUUUGAGCCAGGGUGUUUUUUGUUUUUGUUAUGUGGAGCACAUGCAGCAUUGCAGGCGGAGUCUCUGCAGUGCUCUGUUGUUGCUACAGUGUGGAGCUUCACGCUGUGUGCUUGGUCUCUGUAAUUCUUCCCUUACACUCCAUUUCUGGUUAAUAAAUGAAGCACAAUGUUGUUUCCAUUUUGUGCUGGGUGUGCCGCCUGCCUCUUUCUGUACUAAUCACAGAAGCGGUAGGGA